UACGAAGGGGGCUAGCGUUGCUCGGAAUCACUGGGCGUAAAGCGCACGUAGGCGGAUUGUUAAGUCAGCUGUGAAAUCUCCAAGCUUAACUUGGAACGGUCAGCUGAUACUGAUGUGCUAGAGUGCAGAAGGGGCAAUCGGAAUUCUUGGUGUAGCGGUGAAAUGCGUAGAUAUCAAGAGGAACACCUGAGGUGAAGACGGGUUGCUGGGCUGACACUGACGCUGAGGCGCGAAAGCUAGGGUAGCAAACGGG
This 253-nucleotide ribosomal RNA is filed under the name uncultured bacterium. RNAcentral describes it as "partial 16S ribosomal RNA". It matches the Rfam family "Bacterial small subunit ribosomal RNA", at positions 524 to 776 of the family's 1533-position model. The record is from RNAcentral.